GUAAGUGGUGGACAAAACUUUUGUGUGUUUGUGGAUUUAUUUAUGUUGAUCUUGAGAGAAUUGUGGUUAGCCAUUUGUGUUGUUCUGUAACAUCAUCUUGACUUUUUCUUUCCUUUUACUUUUUCAGAAAAAAAAAAUCAAAGUUCUUGGUCUCCCACCCUCUUCCCCAAAUAGAAAUAUAAUGUAGAAAAAUCAAAUUAUUUUUAAGAGUACCGAAAUGAAUAGGGAUCCGUUAUCCAAUCUAAAUUUUCUUCCUUUUGGAAUUUCAAUUUUUUGGGCAUGGCGAACUGUGGUCCAAAUUUUGAUAUCCAA
This 312-nucleotide long non-coding RNA is filed under the name Brassica napus (rape). RNAcentral's name for it is "long non-coding RNA (BNAP_LNC006671)". Lineage: Eukaryota; Viridiplantae; Streptophyta; Magnoliopsida; Brassicales; Brassicaceae. The record is from RNAcentral.